RNAcentral lists this microRNA precursor (86 nucleotides) under Scleropages formosus (Asian bonytongue). RNAcentral describes it as "mir-365 microRNA precursor family". It matches the Rfam family "mir-365 microRNA precursor family". The record is from Rfam by way of RNAcentral. Lineage: Eukaryota; Metazoa; Chordata; Actinopteri; Osteoglossiformes; Osteoglossidae.
CAGCAAGAAAAGUGAGGGACUUUUAGGGGCAGCUGUGUUUUACUGAACCAGUCAUAAUGCCCCUAAAAAUCCUUAUUGCUCUUGCA